Molecule: non-coding RNA, 786 nt
Filed under: Hystrichopsylla weida qinlingensis
Lineage: Eukaryota; Metazoa; Arthropoda; Insecta; Siphonaptera; Hystrichopsyllidae
Source: RNAcentral
UAAAAGUUUAAUUCUUUCUUAGAAAUUUAUUAAAUAUAUAAUUUUAUAUGUAAAUUUUUGUGUGAAUUAAAAGUAUUUUUAAAAAGUGUUAUAAUUAUAUUCGCAGUAAGUAAUUUUAUAAAUUAUAGAAAUAUUGAUUUAGUAAUAUAUUAUAUUAUUAACAAAAAUUGUGCCAGCAGUUGCGGUUAUACAGUUGAUAAAAAUAAAUAAUAUAAGUAGAUAGUUUAAUUAAUUUAUUGAAUAAAAAUUUAUAAUUUUAAGGUGAAAUUUAUUUUAUAAUAAAAAUUUAUUAAAAUAGUAAAUAUUGAAGCUAUAGAAAUUAAAAUAAAAACUAGGAUUAGAUACCCUAUUAUUUUAAUUAAUUUUAAAACAUUUAAGUAGUAAUAGUUAUAUUCUUGAAACUUAAAGAAUUUGGCGGUAUUUUAAUCUUUUCAGAGGAACCUGUUCUAUAAUCGAUAUUCCACGUUAAAUUUUACUAAAUUUAAUUAUUUGUAUAUCGUUGUCGUAAGAAUAUUUUUGAAAAAUAAUUAAUUUUCUAAAAUUGUAAUUAAAAUAAAUGUCAAAUCAAGGUGCAGUUUAUAAUUUAGAAGAAAUGGGUUACAAUAAAUUUAUUUAGACGAAAUUAUAUUUGAAAACUAUAAUGAAGGAGGAUUUGAGAGUAAAUUAAUUUUAUAAAAAUAAAUUGAUGGUAGUUCUAAAAUAUGUACAUAUUGCCCGUCGCUCUUUUUAUUUAAAAAAGAUAAGUCGUAACAUAGUAGAUGUACUGGAAAGUGUAUCUAGAAGAUC